UGCCAGACUCCUACGGGAGGCAGCAGUGGGGAAUAUUGCACAAUGGGGGGAACCCUGAUGCAGCGACGCCGCGUGGGUGAAGGAGCACCUCGGUGCGUAAAGCCCUAUCGGCAGGGAAGAAACAGACGGUACCUGACUAAGAAGCCCCGGCUAACUACGUGCCAGCAGCCGCGGUAAUACGUAGGGGGCAAGCGUUAUCCGGAUUUACUGGGUGUAAAGGGAGCGUAGACGGCAUGGCAAGUCAGAUGUGAAAGCCCGGGGCUCAACCCCGGGACUGCAUUUGAAACUGUCAGGCUGGAGUGCAGGAGAGGUAAGUGGAAUUCCUAGUGUAGCGGUGAAAUGCGUAGAUAUUAGGAGGAACACCAGUGGCGAAGGCGACUUUCUGGACAGUAACUGACGUUGAGGCACGAAAGUGUGGGGAGCAAACAGGAUUAGAUACCCGAGUA
Molecule: ribosomal RNA, 446 nt
Filed under: uncultured bacterium
Lineage: Bacteria
Description: bacterial SSU rRNA
Rfam family: Bacterial small subunit ribosomal RNA
Source: RNAcentral